GCGUGAGCAAAUUGUUUGUUUACCUGAUCAGCUGACCAGAGACUCGGACACGAAUUUAAACUUCUGAAUGGUGUCAGCGAGGGAAUGUCGUCUGUUUUUCUGAUGGAUUUUAGAAUGCGAGACAUCUAAAAUGAGCAUCACCCUGUUUGCCACACAUGGACGAGGCUUAGAUGCUUUUGCACAGGAGGAAAUCCAAGAAAAACUGACCAAUGUGUAUAAUGUGCAAACUCUUGGAGAAGGCAAGAUUUCCUUCAGCAUUCCAUUCAAAUCAAGUGACUCUAAUGUGUGUUCAUAUGAAGAGGGUAAAGGAGAUGAUGAAGAAAUGUUAAUUGGUGCUGUGUCUCCUGUAUAUAAUCUUAAACUAGUGGAGAGGGUUUUUAUACUUUUGCACUGUGAAACAUUUGAUACAGGUGAAACCCAUACUGGAAGUGAAAAGGAAACAGAUCAUACCACAGAAAGAAAGAGGAAACCAACGGCCAGUGAUGAGAGUAAUAAUCAACUUUUGAAAAAAUAUGAAAACAAACUUGCUGAUAUCAUAGACAAGGAAAAAUGGGCUAAAGUGGCAUGUCAAGUUCAAGCAUUAAGGACGUUUCAAGAUCAACAAACAAUCCGCGUCCAUUGCCAAGACCCAAGUAGCUGUCAUGGGUCUGUCAGGCGGAGAGCUGAGAAACAGAAAUUAUGGCAGAGGAGAUCUAGCAAAGAAGGCAGAUGUUCAAGGAAAAGAAUGAGGAGAGAGAGUGCCCUUGACCUUUCUGAGAUGAGGUCACCAGAGUCAGAUAUUGCAAGCAGGAAUGUCCUGGCUGUACGUCCUGUGAGGGAAAGAUUAACCGAAACUGUGGAAAUGAACAGAGACAUAACAGACGUGGAUGAUUCAAAAGUGAACUAUGAUAACAGUUUGACAAGUGAUACUAAUCAGAAUGAAAUGGAUGGUCAAGAAGUAACUGAUAAGGUGAUAAUAGAGGAAAAUAGAAUCAGAACUAAUAAUCGUAAGAGGACCAAUGGCAAAUCAUCGAACCCAGAACCGCAGCUGAUGAGUGAGAACGUGAAUUGUACAAGUGGUUUUAGUGAUGUAGAAAAUGGCAUUUCAGGCAUUUCAUCCGUUUCUGAUGUUUGUAAACCAGACUUAAAUACUUACAGAGACACAAAGAAUAUCAUUCAUGAAAAUUCUGUGAAUUACCGUGUGUCGAGCAGGAUAUCUGGUCUGUGCAAAAACGUUGUUACGCAGCAGUUAUUGACUAAAAUGUUUGUAAAAGCAGUUGAAGAAAAAAUGGAAUAUUGGACAGUUGCGUGGAGAAACCCUUUGUUAGAUUUUUAUAUUAAUAUUACCAAUUCCCAUUUUAUUGUAGAACACCUUUCAGGGGUAUCAAUAUCCAGGGAGUCGCUCUCACUGCGGCCGUAUAUUCCACACAUCACCCUGAGGUCCACCGUGGCCUACCUCAUGGCCAGACUAGCGCAAGUACCCCAAGGAGGAGUGGUGCUGGAUCCCAUGUGCGGAGGAGGCACGAUUCUUCUGGAAAUGGCCAAGUGCUUUAAGGCUGGCUUGGUCAUUGGUGGAGACAUAAGCCAGGAGCAGCUAAAAGUAUCAAGGUGCAACUUGCAAGGUGUAGGAGUACCGUUCAGUCUUCUGCGUAUGGAUGCAGUAGGUGAGCAGCAUUCCAUGAACAUAAUAUGACUUUAUCUCUCUAUGCCACUAACGUCUCGGUCAGUCAGCGCUGUAGUGUGUGACGUCCCCUUCGGCCAGAAACACCAGUUGAAAGAUGACGACGAAUCAGCCAUGUUGCGGGGACUCCUGGGUGAAUGCCAGAGAGUGUUGAAGUGCGGUG
Molecule: unclassified non-coding RNA, 1823 nt
Filed under: Penaeus chinensis
Lineage: Eukaryota; Metazoa; Arthropoda; Malacostraca; Decapoda; Penaeidae
Description: uncharacterized LOC125028537, transcript variant X5
Source: RNAcentral